RNAcentral lists this long non-coding RNA (465 nucleotides) under Setaria italica (foxtail millet). RNAcentral describes it as "long non-coding RNA (SITA_LNC002213)". The record is from RNAcentral. Lineage: Eukaryota; Viridiplantae; Streptophyta; Magnoliopsida; Poales; Poaceae.
CAGGCGCCGGUGAAGUAAAAAAAUAUAGCUCUCCUCGCUACAGUGCUGCUAUAGUGCACAUGUAGGAGGAGCCGGAGCACUCAAGGGCUCGGCUAAAGAGGCUCAUAGUCUCAUUAUCUACGUGAUGACGAGGCACACAGGGAAAAUGCGAGAAAAAUAAGGAAGCUGUGUUUAGUGUAAAAGUCUUAUUGAGACGUUUUCUUGCAUUGAAAAGGUGAGAUCCUAAAGGACUUAAAUAUCGUGGUUUCCUCCACUAUCCUAACUGCGUAGUGGGCGAUUUUUGCAGAUGUUUUACAGUGGCAUCAUUGCUAACAUGUUGAACGUAAGCUUCCAUAUAUAACAUUUGAAGCGGAAGCGUGACUGAAAUCAAUGCGGUUGAAUUGGAGAAAGGUUUGCUGUCUAGCUGAGAGAACGCGGGUCCGUUUGGAUUGUGCCGAUGCCAGCUAUGCCAAUCCAUCGGCGAGC